UCGCGAAAACUUCACAAUGGGGGAAACCCCGAUGAGGGAAUUCCAAGUGCCAGCACAUUGUGUUGGCUGUUCUCUGGUCUAAAAAACCGGAGAAGUAAGGGCCGGGUAAGACGGGUGCCAGCCGCCGCGGUAAUACCCGCGGCCCGAGUGGUGGUCGAUAUUAUUGAGCCUAAAACGUCCGUAGCCGGUCUUGUAAAUCCUUGGGUAAAUCGACCAGCUUAACUGUUCGAAGUCCGGGGAGACUGCAAGACUUGGGAUCGGGAGAGGUGAGAGGUACUUCUGGGGUAGGGGUAAAAUCCUGUAAUCCUAGAAGGACCACCAGUGGCGAAGGCGUCUCACCAGAACGGACCUGACGGCAAGGGACGAAAGCUAGGGGCACGAACC
This 384-nucleotide ribosomal RNA is filed under the name uncultured prokaryote. RNAcentral describes it as "bacterial SSU rRNA". It matches the Rfam family "Archaeal small subunit ribosomal RNA", at positions 339 to 725 of the family's 1478-position model. The record is from RNAcentral.